This 441-nucleotide ribosomal RNA is filed under the name uncultured bacterium. RNAcentral's name for it is "partial 16S ribosomal RNA". It matches the Rfam family "Bacterial small subunit ribosomal RNA", at positions 338 to 795 of the family's 1533-position model. The record is from RNAcentral.
CCUACGGGAGACAGCAGUGGGGGAUAUUGCACAAUGGGGGGAACCCUGAUGCAGCGACGCCGCGUGGGUGAAGGAGUGCUUCGGCAUGUAAAGCUCUAUCGGCAGGGAAGAAGCAAGACGGUACCUGACUAAGAAGCCCCGGCUAACUACGUGCCAGCAGCCGCGGUAAUACGUAGGGGGCGAGCGUUAUCCGGAUUCACUGGGGGUAAAGGGAGCGUAGACGGGCAUGCAAGCCAGGGGUGAAAGCCCGGGGCCCAACCCCGGGACUGCCCUUGGAACUGUGCGGCUAGAGUGCGGGAGGGGCAGGCGGAAUUCCUGGUGUAGCGGUGAAAUGCGUAGAUAUCAGGAGGAACACCGGCGGCGAAGGCGGCCUGCUGGACCGCGACUGACGUUGAGGCUCGAAAGCGUGGGGAGCGAACAGGAUUAGAUACCCGAGUAGUC